CGCAAGUUAAACUGAUAUGUUGUGCAUCUUCUUGUGUUGCAUAGUUGUCUACUAGCUGAAUAAGCAAGUUGUUCAAAUCAACUGCUUGCAAC
Molecule: transfer RNA, 92 nt
Filed under: Kalymmatonema gypsitolerans NIES-4073
Lineage: Bacteria; Bacillati; Cyanobacteriota; Cyanophyceae; Nostocales; Scytonemataceae
Description: Scytonema sp. NIES-4073 tRNA-Lys
Source: RNAcentral